GGGGAUUAUUACUUGAUGACAUGCAAUCUUUGGUUAGCCGCUUUGAGAUACUUGGCGUCCUUUGUUGCACAAUAAAUGAAGUCCCGAGAUGUCUCAUAAAUCUAAAGGAAGUAGGCUUGCACGAUCCGUGAAAUUCUGUAAUGUGGCGGAAGUCGAAAAGAGGUGUUGUUGCGCAAUCCGUAAGUUUCCGUAACUUCUUCG
Molecule: long non-coding RNA, 201 nt
Filed under: Glycine max (soybean)
Lineage: Eukaryota; Viridiplantae; Streptophyta; Magnoliopsida; Fabales; Fabaceae
Description: long non-coding RNA (GMAX_LNC000811)
Source: RNAcentral